AGAGUUUGAUCCUGGCUCAGAUUGAACGCUGGCGGCAUGCUUUACACAUGCAAGUCGAACGGUAACAGGUCUUCGGAUGCUGACGAGUGGCGAACGGGUGAGUAAUACAUCGGAACGUGCCUAGUAGUGGGGGAUAACUACUCGAAAGAGUAGCUAUACCGCAUGAGAUCUACGGAUGAAAGCAGGGGACCUUUGGGCCUUGUGCUACUAGAGCGGCUGAUGGCAGAUUAGGUAGUUGGUGGGGUAAAGGCUUACCAAGCCUGCGAUCUGUAGCUGGUCUGAGAGGACGACCAGCCACACUGGGACUGAGACACGGCCCAGACUCCUACGGGAGGCAGCAGUGGGGAAUUUUGGACAAUGGGCGAAAGCCUGAUCCAGCAAUGCCGCGUGCAGGAUGAAGGCCCUCGGGUUGUAAACUGCUUUUGUACGGAACGAAAAGCCUGGGGCUAAUAUCCCCGGGUCAUGACGGUACCGUAAGAAUAAGCACCGGCUAACUACGUGCCAGCAGCCGCGGUAAUACGUAGGGUGCAAGCGU
RNAcentral lists this ribosomal RNA (535 nucleotides) under uncultured bacterium. RNAcentral describes it as "bacterial SSU rRNA". It matches the Rfam family "Bacterial small subunit ribosomal RNA", at positions 8 to 541 of the family's 1533-position model. The record is from RNAcentral.